GACGAACGCUGGCGGCGUGCCUAAUACAUGCAAGUUGAGCGAUGAAGCUUGGUGCUUGCACCAAUUUGAUGAGCAGCGAACGGGUGAGUAACGCGUGGGGAAUCUGCCUUUGAGCGGGGGACAACAUUUGGAAACGAAUGCUAAUACCGCAUAAAAACUUUAAACAUAAGUUUUAAGUUUGAAAGAUGCAAUUGCAUCACUCAAAGAUGAUCCCGCGUUGUAUUAGCUAGUUGGUGAGGUAAAGGCUCACCAAGGCGAUGAUACAUAGCCGACCUGAGAGGGUGAUCGGCCACCUUGGGACUGAGACACGGCCCAAACUCCUACGGGAGGCAGCAGUAGGGAAUCUUCGGCAAUGGACGAAAGGCUGAACGAGCAACGCCGCGUGAGUGAAGAAGGUUUUCGGAUCGUAAAACUCUGUUGGUAGAGAAGAACGUUGGUGAGAGUGGAAAGCUCAUCAAGUGACGGUAACUACCCAGAAAGGGACGGCUAACUACGUG
Molecule: ribosomal RNA, 497 nt
Filed under: uncultured bacterium
Lineage: Bacteria
Description: partial 16S ribosomal RNA
Rfam family: Bacterial small subunit ribosomal RNA
Source: RNAcentral